This 23-nucleotide microRNA is filed under the name Cordylochernes scorpioides. Lineage: Eukaryota; Metazoa; Arthropoda; Arachnida; Pseudoscorpiones; Chernetidae. The record is from RNAcentral.
GGAUGAUCAACAGGCCCUUAGAU